UUCACAUGUGAGCAUGUUGCUCUUGCACCGCUAAAAGAAACGUAUUGCUCUUGCUUCCCUACAAAUAAAAUAUGUUACUCUUGCCCGAUCCCCUUUCUCCUUUCCUUCUUCUCUCCGCUCGCUCAUUCAAAAAUUCCUAUGACCGGAUGAGAUCCGAUGGGUGAUGUGGGCUUGGAUCUUGUCUUCCGCUGCCAGCUUGAAUCCAUCUUGAGCGUGAGGAUGCGACAGCGUUGUCUUUCCCUAGCGCGCGAGCCGGACGCAUAGUCGUUGUUCCCAGUGGAGGCAGCCCGACACAUCGUCGUCAUCCUCCACAGCGGCUGCUUUGUUCGACCUACAGUAGGUCAGGUGGGAACCUUAACAUCUUGACUCUUCUGCAAGGAUAGGGGGAUGUGGAACCUCGAGUGUGCUCCCUAUAGAAGCAGCGCUGCAAUAUGCGAUGACACCACUGCUAGUACUAUCUUUCCUUCGGAACACAACUUUGUUGUGAUUGCCUCAGUAGGUGGAAAGGCAACCUUUCGAUGCAGGGAUGUCAAAAGUGUAUUUUGAACUGAAAUAUUCUUCAACUCGCGUCAUUGCCUGAUAUGUACUUACUGGAGGUGGUCGUCUGAUUCCUCGAUGGAGCCGAUGACAAUUGAGGAGAGUCGACAAAGGAGAUUGGGGAUGACAAUCGAGGAGAGUCAAUAUAGGAGUUUGUGGUGCUAGCAACCGUUGGAGGAAGACGAUGUUGAUAGGGGGCUCUUAAGUCGAGAGGAAAGCUAAUUAAAAGAUAAAAAGAAGGUACUCCAAGACCCUGGGGAAUGUGAAAAGGAAUUCGAGCAUCCAUCGGCAUGUCCUUCUUUUCUGGUUAUACGGCGUACUACCUGUGUAACUAAAUAUAAAAUGUUUUUGCAGUUCAAAUUUGAACUCCAAAAACAUCUUAUAUUUAGUUAUGGAGGUAGUACAAUAGUGCACGCCGUCAUGUGCGUUGUCGACUCAGGUCUAUGUCUGCACUAAUUACCAUAGACCAGUCUUCACGGUGAGCUAAUAAGCCAUGAAGCCAUCUAAAUAAAGCUAAUCCAACAAUUUACCCCUAGCUUCCAGCUGCCCACUAAUCGAUUCUUGUACAAUGUCUCUGAAUUCUUACUGCCCAAUGGGUGACAUUCUCUUCUACAGUGGACAUGCAGUGCUAUCCA
Triticum dicoccoides is the source of this 1172-nucleotide long non-coding RNA. RefSeq lists it as uncharacterized. The record is from RefSeq and is a predicted model, not a curated record. The transcript has 5 exons. Lineage: Eukaryota; Viridiplantae; Streptophyta; Magnoliopsida; Poales; Poaceae.